Molecule: RNA transcript, 1140 nt
Organism: Dermochelys coriacea (leatherback sea turtle)
Lineage: Eukaryota; Metazoa; Chordata; Testudines; Dermochelyidae
Gene: TMEM250
Gene name: transmembrane protein 250
Exons: 2
Source: RefSeq, a predicted model, not a curated record
GCCAGCUGUCCUCCGCCGAGCGGAAACUGGGGGGCGGGGGCAGCCCCGGAAUCGGAUAGCGAGAAACGGGGGGCAACAGCUCGCGCCAGCGCUGCCCCCCCCCAUCCCCUCUCCUCGUUCUUGCCCCCAAGCUCUUAUCUCCACCCCGCCCGUUCUUGCCCCAUCCCCAUCCCGUUACCCCAAUCCUCCCUUCCCCCAUUAUUCCCCCCCACUCCCCUGGGUGAAACCCCCUCGCCUCACCCAUUACUGCCCCGCCCCGCCUGUUCUUGUCCCGCCCCCGUUGCCCGGGCGACAGGCUCCCCCUACCCUCGCGGCUCUUCUUUGGCUGUCCCCGGGGAGGCGAGGCGAUCGAUGAUGACAUCAUCAUUUCGCGCCAACCCCCCCCAGUCGCCUCGGCCGGUACCGGUUGGAGCCCGAGCGCCGCUGGCCCGCACAUGCGCAUAGCAGCGCUCGACCUCAGGCCCGGGCCCCCCCCGGGCCCGGGACCCCUGCCCCCAGUAGCGGCGGGCACUCGGCCCGGGACCAUGGGCAGCGCGGCCUGUUCCUUCCUGGAAAUUCAGCAGAAAGUUUGCAUUCAUAGGUUGCUGAAUCUUUUCCAUAUUAAUGGAUGACAUUUGGUAUGUGCACUGCAAAUCCUGCUCUGGGACUCUGUGAACUGUGGGGUGCCUGAUGCCUGUAAUCCCCAUUCCCCGCCGUGUCCGUUCUUUCCACGGCCCCCACACAACAUGUCUUCAUUCAGCCUGUGGCCCAGUAAGGACCACUCACUUGGUGCGCACCAAGUACAACAACUUCGACAUCUAUCUGAAAUCCCGAUGGAUGUACGGAUUCAUUCGUUUCCUGCUGUACUUCAGCUGCAGCCUGUUUACCUCCAUCCUCUGGGUGGCACUCUCUAUCUUGUUUUGCCUUCAGUACCUGGGCAUCCGGAUCUUUCUGCGUUUCCAGUACAAACUCUCCAUCAUCCUCCUCUUGUUGGGGCGAAGGCGGGUGGACUUCAGCCUCAUGAAUGAACUGCUCAUCUAUGGAAUUCAUGUGACCAUGCUGCUAGUGGGGGGGCUGGGCUGGUGUUUCAUGGUGUUUGUGGAUAUGUAAAUAAAGUGAGCGCACGUGGGCUCAGGAGGCGACUCUUACUCUACCCCAAAA